RNAcentral lists this non-coding RNA (193 nucleotides) under uncultured Pseudoflavonifractor sp. RNAcentral describes it as "malK-I RNA". It matches the Rfam family "malK-I RNA". Lineage: Bacteria; Bacillati; Bacillota; Clostridia; Eubacteriales; Oscillospiraceae. The record is from RNAcentral.
GGGCUACUCCAAUUUUAAAUUACAUCACUAAUUUAAUAUAGGCCCGUCUCCCCGUAAAAAAGGAGGAGACCAAAAUCCGCCGGGCCGGCGGUGCGGCAGUGUGGAGACCUGCCGUAAAGCAUACGGGGUUUUGCUCUCCGUGUGCAAGACUGUACUUGCGGAGGCAUUGCAGUCACGGCCUGUGUACAUGGCA